CGAGGUAGAACUAAGAAAACCAACAGAGAGAGCAGCUAUCUAUGCAACCGGGAAAAACAGACGUGCCCGUUUCGGUUUUUCCAGAGUGCAAUUUCCAGAUCACUUAUUCUUGAGUGAUCUCACGAAAUCACUGGGAUUGCUCUAGAGCACGCAGUUUCAGGACUGCAGCAUCUCACUAUGUAUCUUCUGAGCAUAAGGACUUGAACAUCAGAGGAACGAAUUCGAGCGUGGGAUUCUCAGCCACAGUCACGAGAGGCAUUGGGGCGUCUCCACUGCAACAAGCCCGCAGAAAACCCAAGGGGUGUGGAAAACAAAAUUCCCCAGAGAAAUCAGACACUAGACUAAACGGAUUCUUCAUCUGUGAGGAUUUGGUGUGUUAUGACACUCGAUUAACCAGCCUGAUCCAAGUAAUAUAUGGUAGCAGAGAGGACAAAGCAUUGCACGAUCUGCCACUCACCGAUCGGGGUCCUUGCAGCGGCUACGAGCACAACCGCUUCCUUCCCGGCGUUCAUGAUGGUUCUCAAGUGUUGCUUCGGAUUCUGCUGCUGCGACUUGCCGCUCAGCCUCUCUAGACGCCCAAGUCGCCUAGCGCCUCCCUUACUCCCACCCGCAGGCAGCCAAACCCCCGUGUUGUCAUUGGCCACACCAGACGACUCCGUCUUCCCCUCCCUCCCUCCCUCCCUCCGCACUUGCAGCAAGGAGAGAAGAAGGCGGGGGCACGUGACAGACAAGCCUAGUUGCUGUUGGGGUUUGUUGAGGUCGGAACUGCUUGGGCUGCUGCGAAGGAAAAGCGAGGCUGCCUGCCUACCUGGCAGAGUGGUCGCAAAAAAGGCUGUGCUGCAGGGGUUAGCCAUCCCUUCAGAAUUGUGUUGAACAUACAUCUUCCUUUUUGGAGAUAUAUAGGGACAAACAGGCAGGGAGAGAAUGCCUGUAUGAGAACCUGAGAUUUAGAGGUAUUAGUGGUUAAGAGUGUUGGACUAGGACCAGGAAGACCCGAGUUUGAAUCCCCAUACAACCAUGAAACUCACUGGGUGGCUCUGGGACAGUCAUGUAUCUCAGCCUAACCGAUCUCACUGGGUUGUUGGGAGGAUAAAAAUAACCAUGUACUAAACUCUGAGCUCCUCAAAGAGUGGGAUAUAAAUGUAAAUAAUAAACAUUAACCUUUGCAUCUCACCCUUAAAGAGCUCAGGUGGCAUACGUGGUGUUAUCCCAUUUUAUUAUCCUAAUUGGGGGGAAAGUGACCUGGGUGGGGUUUUGUUUUGGGAUUAGUUGCCAGAAAAGCAAAAGGCAAAUGUGGUUUUCUUUCUUCUUGGCCUUUUGAAAAAGUAUAUCAUUGAACAACUUCGGUGAAUACACAGCUUUUGUACCAGGCUCCAUGUCCAGAUCUGGCUAAAAAACCCAACAACACAUUGGGUCCACUGUUGCUCCUCUGCCACUGGUAUUCAGAGGCAUCCUGCCUCUGAGUCUGGAGGUAAUCUGUAGUCAUCAAGACUAGUGACCAUUGAUAGACCUGUUUGUCCUCUGAAUUUGUCUAAGCCCCCUUGAAAGUCAUGCAAGCUGGUGGCCAUCACCAUAUCCCAUGGCAAGAAAGAAAUUCCAUAGAAUAUGUGCUAUAUGAAAAAGUACUUCCUUUUGUUGGUCCUAAAUUUCCUGGCAAUCAGUUCCAUGAGAUGACCCUGGGUUCUAGUGCUGUGAAAGGGAUUUAAAAACCUAGUUCUUUCCACUCUCUCCACAUGAUUCAUAAUUUUAUAAAUAUCAUGCCUUCCCUUAGUCAUCUUCUUUCUAAACUAAAAAGUCCAAAAUGUUGUAGUCUUACCUCAUAAGGAAAGUGCUCUAGCUGACCGAUUGCUCUCUUUUGCACCUUUCUCAGUUAAAUGUCCUUCUGAUAUGGUGACCAUAACUCUAUGCAGUACUUCAAAUGUGGCCAUACCAUAGAUUUGUUAAGGGCGUUAUAAUAUUAGAACUUUUAUUUUCAGUCCCCUUCCUAAUGAUCCCUAACAUGGAAUUGGCCUUUCUCAUAGCUGCUGCACACUGAGUUGAUGCUUUCAGUUAUCUGUCUAGCACGGCUCCAGUAUCUCUCUCCUGAUCAGUCACUGACAGCUCAGACCCCAUCAGUGUAUAUGUGGAAUUGAGAUUAUAUGGCCCGAUGUACUUAACUUUAUGCUUACAAUGAGCUGCAGUUGCCAUUUUGUUGCCCACUCACCAGUUUGGAGAGAUACUUUUAGAGCUUUUCACAAUUUGUUUUGGAUUUCACAAGUCUAAAUCGUUUAAUGUCAUCUGCAAAUUUGGCCACCUCGCUGCUCACCCUGAUUUCUAGAUAAUUUAUGAACAAAUUAAAAAGCACUGGUCCCAGUACAGAUCCCUGGUCUAUUUCUUGUAACUUUCCUUUAACCAAUUACCAAUCCAUAAAUGAACUUGCCCCCUUAUCCUAUGACUGCUAUGUUUAUUCAAGAUGAGGAACUUUGUCCAAAGGUUUUUGAAAGUCCAAGUAUGCUAUGUCAGCUGAAUCACCUUUAUCCACAUGCCUGCUGAUACUCUCAAAUAAUUCCAAAGGUUAGUGAGGCAAGAUUUUACAGAAACAAUGCUAACCCCUGCUAACUGGGCAAAGAGGAACCUUUUUAACAUGAUGAUGUUUAUUUAUUUAACAGGGGGAGAGUAACUGGCCCUAUCAACCCCCAGCACAGUACCUCCAGUGACUGUUGCUGGUGUCUAUCUUAUGUUUCUUUUUAGAUUGUGAGUGCUUUGGGGACAGGAAGCCAUCUUAUUUAUUAUUUCUCUAUGUAAAUCACUUUGAAAACUUUUGUUGAAAAGCAGAAUAUAAAUAUUUUUUGUUCAUGCUGAGUGAGGUGUGUACACUUAUUCCACUUUCAUCUCAGAUAAACACAUUUUGCAAAUCCCCCCCAAAAAAAUCCUGUUUCAUGAGAACCAAAAAUGGAACUACUUUGAGCUAUCUUAAAGUAUUUAUUUUGCCACUUUAAAUAUAUGAUACUCUUCAGCCACUUUUCUCACUAGGUAGAAAGAAGAUGCUGGAAUGAACUGAAGUCACAUCCUUUACUGAAAUUUAUGUUCCAUUUGCUCCCAUUUAACUGCCAAUACAAGGAGGAAAAAAAGAGCAAAAACUCAGCAGAUGGAGACUGGUUUAUUUAGUGAUGCAAAGUAUACAUCUUAGUCCUAAUACAUAUCAUCAUCAAUUGUAUUACAGCCAUUGGCUAGCAGAAAUAGAAAUAACAAACAUAUCCAAUACAACAAUACAUAUCAGUUAACAGAGCACCCUAAAUGCUAGAUAACUUAACAAUCAACUAGGUGCCAAAUUCUAAAAUGUUACAUUUUAACUAUGAGCAAGACAAGUCAGCCAGACGCACGCAAACUGUUUCUUUCAGUUAUGUUGAAAUCCAGUAAUCCUUAACCCUGAUGUCCUUUUCUUGCUUAGCUAAAAAGGUGUUAUGCAAGGUAAUACUCUUCCAAUUAAUGUCUUCCUUGUCUGGUUGAUUUGCCAGUAGUUUCCAUGUGAGAGUGCAUGAGACUCACUCACUCUCCAUCAGCCAGUGUGCAUGUGUGCACAUACAAAUGCACCAGUCAUGUUUCACGAGGCCUUGGAGUUAGUAGAAACACUAAGAAAGGAAAAGGAGGACUGGACUCUCAGAUAGGAGGUGGGGCAGCGGCCAUUCUGGAGAAUGCCAGACCUGCCAGAUUCUCAGGCCAUGCAGAACAAGGCUUAAAGUCAGGACUCACCAGAGCUUCGCACUGGAACCUGUUGUUCUGUCCUCGAACCUCUAAUUAAUACUAAAGCACAUCCACCCAGAUAAAUAUAAUGAACUACUAAAUAGUCUAUAGAAAGAAUUUACUAUAAAUCAGUCUUAUAAUAGCUACAAUAAAUCCAUCAGUCACAUAAAUAACAAACUGCAAAUUUUUAAAAAGCAGUUCAGCAGUAAAUACCAUUAAAGUUCAGAGUUUAAUAAACUUGCUGCAGAAUUUGUGGUUGUUCCAGAGUUUGGUACCAAAAUUGCUCUCAAGUUGGUGUUUGCUGCAAAGGUUUUGUUCUCUAUGUUGAUUCCAAAGAUGGUCCAAGCUCUCCAAUGCUGGUGAAUGGGCCCUCUCCAGUUAAAGUUAUUUUAAAGGAAACUUCAUGAGUAUUCAAAAUAUCACAUAUGUAGCAGCAGAACUUUUUUUUUUAAUGCAUGGUUUGACAUUUUGUGAACAAACAAUUUCCAAACACAAUGAGAGAAGAAACUGUACAUACACAAUACAGUAUUAUCAUAUUUUAAGGAUGUCUUUCCAAAAGCAUAAUUAUUUGUAAUAUGACAAAUAUCUUGGUCAGAGAAUAAAUGGCAAAAGGGAUUCUGUCAGCAAUCUCAACUUUAUUGUCCUCCACGAACUUGAGUUUGCUGAAUAAUCAGGCCUUAGACAAGCUGCUAUGUCUCAGCCUUCUUUUUGCAGUAUGAGAAUAAUACUGUAUUGACCUUCUUUAGAUGACUGAUACAAAAGUUACUGAGACAAUUAUAUGAAGCAUUCUGGACACUCCAAAGCACUAAAUGAACACUAAGUAAUCAUUGUGAUGCCACCACUGCAAAUGAAAUCUUGCCCCAAAGUCAAAUGGAGGUAAACUGCUAGUGUCAUCAAAUCAAAGUUUUGAAAGUUGGUAAAUCAGAAACCAAGAGGUCUGAGAGCUCUUCUGAAUGGAAUGCCAGUAAAAUUUUAACAUUAAGCCUACACUUUGUGGGCACUGAAUAAAUAUUAACUAGUAGUCAAAGCAGCAGAGUGCAGUUCCAAAACAUGCGAUCUUAAGCACGUUGACUUAGAAGAAAAUAUCAUUGAGUUAAUGAGGCUUACUCGUAUUAAGUACAUUUAGGAUUGCUGCCUGAAUGCCUGUGUUAAAAUAACCCCUAUGACUUCAGUAAAGAUUCUCCUGAAGUCUUUUUCUGGUAAAGUGUAUUCAAGAUAGGAGCCAGAAUGAGGACUUAUUCACCACCCUUUUUGUUUACCCAUUUCUAAAAUACAAUGUUAAAAAAACUGAAUGUCCAAUUGCACUUUUGACAACACAUAAUUUUACAAGCUUUCAGAUCCAUAAAGAGGUAAUCAGAACAGCUAAUAAAUAUUGUACACUGCAAAUUAUUUUGCAAAAGAUAAUUUUUGCAAAAGAUAAACUGAAGUCCGCACAAAAUCAGGUCCAUACAAUAAUAUAGCAACAAUAACUUUAUGAAUAUACAGUAGCAUAGUAGUAUAGUAGAUUACUCCAGUAGAUUAGAUGCCAUUGUAUAUUCACAGCUAUUACACAAAACCUAGCCACAUUAUGAGUAUCGUGGGCUUGAUGGUCAAAGAGAAAUAAAAUAUAUGCUACAUCCCCUCUGCCUGGCAGGUCCUUAAUCAGGGGUAAAAUUAAUGAUUCACGCGAAUACCUAUAAAAAUGAAAAGUAUAAUAAAACAUGAUCCACACCCUCUAUGGCCUGUGUACAACAUGAUGAAUUCUGUAGUUUCCCAAGAUAUUCCUACCUGAGCUGGGCAGCUGUUUCUUGUGAAUUCCCAGGUGCAGUGUCAAGAUGGAACUUCUAUCUCUGAUUUUUUAUUUUUUUUGAGUUCCAGCUUCACUGCUUGUGUGCCAGUCCUUGAUGGGUAUGACAAAAAUCAAUACCUCUCAUUCUGCAGUCUCCCUUGAUAGUCUAUGGUCCAGGGCUAAUAUUAUCAGGCUUUUCUUUUCACUCCCUUCUUUUGGGGUUGCCUCAUUGCAACCUAUGUUUGCUUUUCUAGAUCCUGUCUCUGCUACCGAUUCUUUUCAGGCUUUUGCAAGGAUUACCCAGCUUUGAUCCCUGACUUGGCAACUCUGCUUGCUCACAAAAGUCUGACAAAUCUUUUUUUUGGCCGUGGUUCUAUAGAGGUUCCACUCUGGUACACCUUGACAUUAUUUCAGUUUUCAUUUCUUUCCUGUUUCCACACAUCCUUUCUUCUGAAUCGUUUUCUUUUCCCAUAAAGAACACAGUGAAAGUUUCUAUGGAAUGCCACAUAAAGCAGUUUCAGUGUAACUGUUGCUUUUCAUUCCUACAACAACAUCUGGGAAUUAUAAUUCUCCAGUAGUGCCAGGGACCUCUGACAGAGAGUUUCUGUUGUAGAAUGAGAAUCCCCAGGCUUCUUUGGGAGAAAUCAAAGCAGUUAUAUCAGUGAAAUCCUCUUCAGCAGUUCAAAAGUGUUGGGAAUAAAAUGUGUCUCAGUGUAAUCCUAUGUUUACUCAGAAAUUCCACUGUGUUCAAUAGGACUUACUCCCUGUUAAGUAUGUUUUAAGACUGCAGCCUACUAUACUGUUAGCAAUCUAAUAAUGAUUAUAGUUUUUAAUCUGACAACUUUUUUGUUUAAUUUAGUUAAUUUUAUUACUUUUAUUGUAUCUUAUGUCUAUCUUAUUGUUGUGAGCUGCCCUGAGCAGUAGUGCACUGGAGGGGCGGGGUCUAAAUAUUUUAAAUAAAUAAAUAAUAGAUGUGAUCUUACUAAUGUUUGCCUGUGAAAACAAGAUGUUUUCACAGAAUUUACAGUACAGAUUUUUGGAGUGGGGGCGGGGACAGAUGAUUCUACUAUCUACAAUGGUCACUUUUUUAACCCUAGAAAAAUCCUUUUCCUACUCAUAUUGUAGCACACCUGCCCUCUAGUGAUAAGCUUGUGCUAUCUUUUUGCUUCUUCCAGCACUUUGAAGGAAACACAAUAGUAGAGAACAUAAAUAUUAAAGCACUUGAAUUAUCUUUCAGUUCCUCCCCAGUUAAAUUAAUGCUUUUUACCAUGAUUCACAAGUUAUGCUUCUCCCAGUUUAAAUGCCAUUCACUACAUCUCCUCUAACUAAGGUAAAGUGUGCCCUCGAGUCAGUGUUGACUCCUGGUGCCCACAGAGCUCUGUGGUUUUCUUUGGUAGAAUACAGGAGGGGUUUACCAUUGCCUCCUCCCGUGUAGUAUGAGAUGAUGCCUUUCAGCAUCUUCCUAUAUCGCUGCUGCCUGAUAGAGUACCAGUGGAUUCUGCUUGUUAGUCAACUCCUGUAACUAGUGUGGAAGAAGACAUGCCCCCAGCUGCUGGGCUGUACUGCCCCAGGCCGAUAGAUUUGGAUGCAAUCCAGUAGGUAUCCUUCUACCUUCCCUGUGUCAUUUCUUUCGGUGCCCCACUCAGUUUUAUGAUGAAACUACCAAGAUGAAAGCAUCACCAGCGAGUUGUUCGUUUCUUUUUAAAAUACUGUACGUCGGUAAAUACCAUGUUUAUUUAUUAAUUAUAUUUGCCUGCUGCCCCAAACCUCUGUCUCUAGGGGGUUUACAGCAACAUGUUGCUGUUGCAUAUACAUGCCCUUAUAUUUCUUUAUAUUUAUAUACCACCUGAUAUAUGUAUCUCUAGGUGGUGUAUCACCUUGCUCCUUUGAAGGUUUUGCAAGGAUUCCCCUAUUUCAGGGCUAUGUUCUUGUGGAGAGGGCUGCUUAGAAACAGUUGUUCAUGUGCUUUUGUACUGCCCUCUGUUCCGCGACUCAAGGAAAGAAUUAUUGACCCCUUUAUUUGAUCAGUUUCCAGGCAGGCCUGACUCAUUUUAUCUUAAUUUAUGUCUUGCUCAUGUUAAUGUGGGCAUUACUAAACUGGUUGCUAAAUUUUUAUAUGGGGCUUUGAAACUGACCUCUUGUCAUGGGGUUUUAUGAGGCUGAUUGUGUAUUUUUUAGUUAGUUAUAUUUGCCAUAUAACUAACUUUGCCCCUGCUAACUGGGCAAAGAGGCACCUUUUACCGUGGUGAUUCUCUUUAUUUAGCAGGGAGAGAGUAACUGGCCCUAUCCACCCCCAGCACAGUACCUCCAGUGACUGUUGCUGGUAUCUAUCGUGGGGUUUUUUUUAGAAUGUGAGCCCUUUGGGGACAGGGAGCCAUCUUCUUUAUUUAUUAUUUCUCUGUGUAAACCGCCCUGAGCCAUGUUUGGAAGGACGGUAUAGAAAUCGAAUUAAUAAUAAUAAUAAUAAUUUAUGCUGUAUAUUUAUGCAUGGUAACAGUCUAAAGUUUUAAUUUUGUUUGGCUUAUGGCCGCAAAUAAAAUGAUUGAUUGAUUGA
Hemicordylus capensis (graceful crag lizard) is the source of this 8045-nucleotide long non-coding RNA. RefSeq lists it as uncharacterized. The transcript is spliced from 2 exons. NCBI's taxonomy places the organism in Eukaryota, Metazoa, Chordata, Lepidosauria, Squamata, Cordylidae. The record is from RefSeq and is a predicted model, not a curated record.